AUACGGAGGGUGCAAGCGUUAUCCGGAUUUAUUGGGUUUAAAGGGUCCGUAGGCGGACUAAUAAGUCAGGGGUGAAAUCCCACAGCUUAACUGUGGAACUGCCUUUGAUACUGUUAGUCUUGAGUUAUAUGGAAGUAGAUAGAAUGUGUAGUGUAGCGGUGAAAUGCUUAGAGAUUACACAGAAUACCGAUUGCGAAGGCAGUCUACUACAUAUAUACUGACGCUAAUGGACGAAAGCGUGGGGAGCGAACAGGAUUAGAAACCCUAGUAGUCC
RNAcentral lists this ribosomal RNA (274 nucleotides) under uncultured bacterium. Its description in RNAcentral is "partial 16S ribosomal RNA". It matches the Rfam family "Bacterial small subunit ribosomal RNA", at positions 523 to 796 of the family's 1533-position model. The record is from RNAcentral.